CCUACGGGUGGCUGCAGUGGGGAAUCUUGCACAAUGGGGGAAACCCUGAUGCAGCGACGCCGCGUGAGCGAAGAAGUAUUUCGGUAUGUAAAGCUCUAUCAGCAGGGAAGAACAUGACUGUACCUGAGUAAGCAGCUCCGGCUAACUCCGUGCCAGCAGCCGCCGUCAUACGAAUGGAGCAAACGUUAUCCGGAUUUACGGGGCGUAAAGUGAGCGUAGGCGGCUUGCCAAGUCUGAUGUGAAAUACCGGGGCUCAACCCCGGGGCUGCAUUGGAAACUGGCAGGCUGGAGUGCCGGAGAGGAAGGCGGAAUUCCAAGUGUAGCGGUGAAAUGCGCAGAGAUUAGGAGGAACACCAGUGGCGAAGGCGGCCUGCUGGACGGUGACUGACGCUGAGGCGCGAAAGCGUGGGGAGCAAACAGGAUUAGAUACCCCGGUAGUC
This 440-nucleotide ribosomal RNA is filed under the name uncultured bacterium. Its description in RNAcentral is "partial 16S ribosomal RNA". It matches the Rfam family "Bacterial small subunit ribosomal RNA", at positions 338 to 795 of the family's 1533-position model. The record is from RNAcentral.